RNAcentral lists this ribosomal RNA (561 nucleotides) under uncultured Atopobium sp. RNAcentral's name for it is "bacterial SSU rRNA". It matches the Rfam family "Bacterial small subunit ribosomal RNA", at positions 967 to 1528 of the family's 1533-position model. The record is from RNAcentral. Lineage: Bacteria; Bacillati; Actinomycetota; Coriobacteriia; Coriobacteriales; Atopobiaceae.
AACCUUACCAGGGCUUGACAUUCAGGUGAAGCGGCGGAAANCGUNGUGGGCCGAGAGGAGCCUGAACCAGGUGGUGCAUGGCUGUCGUCAGCUCGUGUCGUGAGAUGUUGGGUUAAGUCCCGCAACGAGCGCAACCCUCGUCGCAUGUUGCCAGCGGUUCGGCCGGGCACCCAUGCGAGACCGCCGGCGUUAAGCCGGAGGAAGGUGGGGACGACGUCAAGUCAUCAUGCCCCUUAUGUCCUGGGCUGCACACGUGCUACAAUGGUCGGCACAAUGGGCUGCCAGCCCGCGAGGGCGAGCGAAUCCCUAAAGCCGGCCCCAGUUCGGAUUGGAGGCUGCAACCCGCCUCCAUGAAGUCGGAGUUGCUAGUAAUCGCGGAUCAGCACGCCGCGGUGAAUGCGUUCCCGGGCCUUGUACACACCGCCCGUCACACCACCCGAGUCGAUUGCACCCGAAGUCGCCGGCCCAACCCGCAAGGGAGGGAGGCGCCGAAGGUGUGGUUGGUAAGGGGGGUGAAGUCGUAACAAGGUAGCCGUACGAGAACGUGCGGCUGGAUCACCU